AUAUACAUGGAAGCAGACUGUUG
Molecule: non-coding RNA, 23 nt
Filed under: Cricetulus griseus (Chinese hamster)
Lineage: Eukaryota; Metazoa; Chordata; Mammalia; Rodentia; Cricetidae
Source: RNAcentral